GGCUAACGCUGGCGGCGUGUCUUAGCCAUGCAAGUCGAGCGGACUUAUGGGGUAACUUAUAAGUCAGCGGCGGACGGCGGAGUAACACGUAGCUAACCUACCCUCUGGACGGGGAUAACCUACCGAAAGGUGGGCUAAUACCCGAUGUAGUCAUCCUGUAUAGGGGUGAUGAAAGGUGGGCUUCUGUUUACAAGCUCAUGCUGGAGGAGGGGGCUGCGGCCUAUCAGGUAGUUGGUAGGGUAAUAGCCUACCAAGCCGAUGACGGGUAGCCGGCCUGAGAGGGUGACCGGCCCGAGGGGCACUGAGAUACGGGUCCCACUCCUACGGGAGGCAGCAGGCUAGAAAUUUGGGCAAUGGGGGAAACCCUGACCCAGUGACGCCGCGUGCAGGAAGGAGCCCUUCGGGGUGUAAACUGCUGUCGUGUAGGGAGAAGGGUACUAAGGUGAACAAUCUUAGUACUUGACGGUACUACAGGAGGAAGCCCAGGCUAACCUCGUGCCAGCAGCCGCGGUAAAGUACUCUAU
This 524-nucleotide ribosomal RNA is filed under the name uncultured bacterium. RNAcentral's name for it is "bacterial SSU rRNA". It matches the Rfam family "Bacterial small subunit ribosomal RNA", at positions 28 to 531 of the family's 1533-position model. The record is from RNAcentral.